UGGUGCGAUGGUUGUCGUCAGCUCGUGUCGUGAGAUGUUGGGUUAAGUCCCGGCAACGAGUGCAACCCCUGUGGUUAGUUGCCAGCAAGUAGCGUUUGGGCACUCUAGCCAGACUGCCGGUGAUAAAUCGGAGGAAGGUGGGGACGACGUCAAAUCAUCAUGCCCUUUAUGUCCUGGGCUACACACGUACUACAAUGGCCGUUACAACGGGAAGCGAAGGAGCAAUCCGGAGCAAAUCCCUUAAAGGCGGUCCCAAGUUCCAGAUUGUGGGCUUGAAACUCGCCCACAUGAAGGCGGAAUUGCUAGUAAUUGCAGAUCAGCAUGCUGCAGUCGAAUACGUUCCCGGGCCCGUU
RNAcentral lists this ribosomal RNA (353 nucleotides) under uncultured Oscillospiraceae bacterium. RNAcentral describes it as "bacterial SSU rRNA". It matches the Rfam family "Bacterial small subunit ribosomal RNA", at positions 1039 to 1380 of the family's 1533-position model. Lineage: Bacteria; Bacillati; Bacillota; Clostridia; Eubacteriales; Oscillospiraceae. The record is from RNAcentral.